This 245-nucleotide long non-coding RNA is filed under the name Bos taurus (domestic cattle). RNAcentral describes it as "long non-coding RNA NONBTAT016637". Lineage: Eukaryota; Metazoa; Chordata; Mammalia; Artiodactyla; Bovidae. The record is from RNAcentral.
CUUCUGGCCCCAGCUCCAUCAUUUCUCUGGACAACUAAUAUCCAACUAGAGGAGGAUGACAAAGCAUGGACUCUGUUAUACUUUGAGUCUGACAUUUUUCAUUUCAUUAAUUCCCCAAGCAACCACCACUCCUGCUAGUCUUUUUGCCAAGGAAAAGAGCCUUGAUUUCGUGGUAAUCCAUUGUUACAGAUCGGCUAUAUAUUUAUUGAUGUGGAAAAAGGAGGCCUAAAGCAGAGAAUGAAAGC